GUCUACUUAACUUAAACAAAGUUUAUAUUUUGAAAAUAUAAAAUAGGUUCACACACCUAGUAGUCU
This 66-nucleotide transfer RNA is filed under the name Pseudocellus gertschi. RNAcentral describes it as "tRNA-Ser". The record is from RNAcentral. Lineage: Eukaryota; Metazoa; Arthropoda; Arachnida; Ricinulei; Ricinoididae.